This is a long non-coding RNA of Salvia miltiorrhiza (redroot sage), 472 nucleotides long. RefSeq lists it as uncharacterized. NCBI's taxonomy places the organism in Eukaryota, Viridiplantae, Streptophyta, Magnoliopsida, Lamiales, Lamiaceae. The record is from RefSeq and is a predicted model, not a curated record. The transcript is spliced from 2 exons.
AUUUUUAUUUCAGUUGUGAAAAAAAAGUUGAUAUGAGGAACAUACAAGGUAUGAGCAUGCUAUUAAGAAAAUUCAUGGAGUAUAUUCAUUUGAACAAUGCAUGUGCACUUUUGAUAAAGUUAUGCAGGAUAAAUCUAACGACGUAGUGACAAGAAUCCGAAAGGAAUUUGAAGAGGAAAUGUAAAAGUUCAAUUACUAUUCCUUACAAAUGGAAAUGGAGAUGUUUCAAGCCUGACUUCUCAUUUUAGAGGACUAUAAUAUAAAUGAACAACGAAAGUGCAACAUGGCAAAGGAGGAGAAAAAUAAAAUGAUGAUGGAUGUCACAUUGUCAGUUAUGAGAUUUGGUUUCCUGAAUAGCUAGAUUAAUUUAGGUUUUGUUAUUUGAUGUUAGAUUUUUUAAUAAUAUGUAGAUAGAUCAAUGUACGUUGAAAUAUUUAUUUUUAUAUUUUUAAUAAUGUAUUCUUUUUAUUUA